UUUCAUUAAUCAUGGUUGAAAAGUCCAAGGAAAGGAGGGUGGCUUACUGCAGAAGAUGUGUGUGUCUCUCUAAAAUUUUCGUUUCUCUGACUAAAAGGGGAUCUAGGGCUGUGAUGUGCUGCUUCAAUCCGACAUGAUUUUAACGGCAAUGAUGCAGUUGUCGAGACAGUUAUUAGCGAGGAGAUCAACGGUGAGCUACGAUGGAGAUUCUUGGAGAAGUUCUUUUUGGUAUAUCUGUUGCUGGAGGUGUUAAAUUAGGUCCUCUAGAUUCUUGAGGACCCAUCAAUACGGUCACGUUUUUGGGGUACGAUGCAUUUAAGACCAAGCAAAAGGCCAGUCAGCAGAACAUUCAUCUGGAGGAGGCGGCAGUGCUGUCUAAUUUGGGGGCAGUGUAUAGUUAGAUUGGGUUGACAUAUGAUCGUGCCACCAUGAAGGGGCAGCGGGAGGCAUUGCACGCAUUCAUGGCGGUGGUCGGAGCCUUUCCUUAUUUGAGAGAUUAUGCGUCCACAAAGGGGUUAUAUCUCGUUUUCUUAUUUCCUCAUUGAUGUUGUUUAAAUCAGGAAAAUUAAGUCUUCUUCUGUAUUUCUUGUAACUCAUACUGUAUCUUCUUAAUCAAGAAGAUUAAGAAGAUAAACAACAUUACCAACAAAUAUAUGAUAAACUUGGCAAAUCACAUAUGGCAGCUUCUCCA
Long non-coding RNA from Mangifera indica (mango), 691 nucleotides. RefSeq lists it as uncharacterized. NCBI's taxonomy places the organism in Eukaryota, Viridiplantae, Streptophyta, Magnoliopsida, Sapindales, Anacardiaceae. The transcript is spliced from 2 exons. The record is from RefSeq and is a predicted model, not a curated record.